ACGAUCAUACCCACUGGAAAACUCGGGAUCCCGUCCGCUCUCCCAUAGAUAAGCCAGUGAGGGCCGGAUUAGUAGUUGGGUCGGUGACGACCAGCGAAUACCUGGUGUUGUAUG
RNAcentral lists this ribosomal RNA (114 nucleotides) under Colletotrichum spaethianum. The record is from RNAcentral. Lineage: Eukaryota; Fungi; Ascomycota; Sordariomycetes; Glomerellales; Glomerellaceae.